This 253-nucleotide ribosomal RNA is filed under the name uncultured bacterium. RNAcentral describes it as "partial 16S ribosomal RNA". It matches the Rfam family "Bacterial small subunit ribosomal RNA", at positions 524 to 776 of the family's 1533-position model. The record is from RNAcentral.
CACGGGGGGAGCAAGCGUUGUUCGGAAUCACUGGGCGUAAAGGGCGUGUAGGCGGUCAGGUAAGCGGGACGUGAAAUGCCUCGGCUCACCCGAGGAGCGGCGUCCCAUACUGCUUGGCUUGAGUACGGGAGAGGUGAGUGGAACUGCGAGUGUAGAGGUGAAAUUCGUAGAUAUUCGCAAGAACACCAGUGGCGAAGGCGGCUCACUGGCCCGGUACUGACGCUGAGGUGCGAAAGCGUGGGGAGCAAACAGG